This 497-nucleotide ribosomal RNA is filed under the name uncultured bacterium. RNAcentral's name for it is "partial 16S ribosomal RNA". It matches the Rfam family "Bacterial small subunit ribosomal RNA", at positions 28 to 507 of the family's 1533-position model. The record is from RNAcentral.
GAUGAACGCUGGCGGCGUGCCUAAUACAUGCAAGUCGAGCGAACGGACGAGAAGCUUCCUUCUCUGAUGUUAGCGGCGGACGGGUGAGUAACACGUGGAUAACCUACCUAUAAGACUGGGAUAACUUCGGGAAACCGGAGCUAAUACCGGAUAAUAUUUUGAACCGCAUGGUUCAAAAGUGAAAGACGGUCUUGCUGUCACUUAUAGAUGGAUCCGCGCUGCAUUAGCUAGUUGGUAAGGUAACGGCUUACCAAGGCAACGAUGCAUAGCCGACCUGAGAGGGUGAUCGGCCACACUGGAACUGAGACACGGUCCAGACUCCUACGGGAGGCAGCAGUAGGGAAUCUUCCGCAAUGGGCGAAAGCCUGACGGAGCAACGCCGCGUGAGUGAUGAAGGUCUUCGGAUCGUAAAACUCUGUUAUUAGGGAAGAACAUAUGUGUAAGUAACUGUGCACAUCUUGACGGUACCUAAUCAGAAAGCCACGGCUAACUACGUG